AACUAUCUUGGAGGGAGAUGACGGUCUUUUGGACUAGAGUGAGGACUGGAGAGAAGCAGAUCUGUGAUAUAUUUUGGAGGUAAAAUUGAUGGGGCUUAGUGGUGGUUUGGUUGUAGGGGACGGGAAAGAGGGUGGAAUCAAGGAUGACUUCCAGGUUUUUGAGCAGCUUCAGUUAUUUACUGGAAUGAAAAAGGCCAGAGAAAGAACCACACCAAAAAAAAA
RNAcentral lists this long non-coding RNA (222 nucleotides) under Mustela putorius furo (domestic ferret). Its description in RNAcentral is "lncRNA (ENSMPUG00000027533.1)". The record is from RNAcentral. Lineage: Eukaryota; Metazoa; Chordata; Mammalia; Carnivora; Mustelidae.